GUGAACGCUGGCGGUAGGCCUAACACAUGCAAGUCGAACGGCAGCACAGUAAGGGCUUGCUCUUACGGGUGGCGAGUGGCGGACGGGUGAGGAAUACAUCGGAAUCUACUUUUUCGUGGGGGAUAACGUAGGGAAACUUACGCUAAUACCGCAUACGACCUACGGGUGAAAGCAGGGGAUCUUCGGACCUUGCGCGAUUGAAUGAGCCGAUGUCGGAUUAGCUAGUUGGCGGGGUAAAGGCCCACCAAGGCGACGAUCCGUAGCUGGUCUGAGAGGAUGAUCAGCCACACUGGAACUGAGACACGAUCCAGACUCCUACGGGAGGCAGCAGUGGGGAAUAUUGGACAAUGGGCGCAAGCCUGAUCCAGCCAUACCGCGUGGGUGAAGAAGGCCUUCGGGUUGUAAAGCCCUUUUGUUGGGAAAGAAAAGCAGCAGGUUAAUACCCCGCUGUUCUGACGGUACCCAAAGAAUAAGCACCGGCUAACUUCGUG
Molecule: ribosomal RNA, 491 nt
Filed under: uncultured bacterium
Lineage: Bacteria
Description: partial 16S ribosomal RNA
Rfam family: Bacterial small subunit ribosomal RNA
Source: RNAcentral